UCUUUUUAUAUUUUUCUCUGUUUCUCGUUUUCUUCUAAACUCCAUUAAAGAGAGGUAAAAUCUAGGAUUUCAGAGAUGGGAGAAGUUGUUGAUGCUCGUAGAAAUAUCACUACUGGAAGCGAAGGUUGCCGCAAUCGAGUGAAUGGAACUGGUGAUCCGAUGUAUUUGCAAAACUCAUAUCAUCUGGUUAUGGUCUUGGAAACUGCACCGCUGGUGGGGAGCAAGUACAGAUCCUGGACGAGCUAUGAGGAUAGGUCUUGGAGCCAAGCAAAAGCUUGGAUUUGUUGAUGGAACCAUAAAAACUCCAGCUAAAGGAACGGAUGAUUACAAGCAGUGGAAGAGGUGUGAUUACAUGGUCACAUCGUGGAUAUUGAAUUCAAUAUCCAAAGAACUUGCAUAAGCCUUCAUAUGCACAACUUCAUCUAAGGAGUUGUGGGAUUAGAUCUCGAAUGAUAUGGAG
RNAcentral lists this unclassified non-coding RNA (460 nucleotides) under Hevea brasiliensis (rubber tree). The record is from RNAcentral. Lineage: Eukaryota; Viridiplantae; Streptophyta; Magnoliopsida; Malpighiales; Euphorbiaceae.